Molecule: transfer RNA, 77 nt
Filed under: Pseudomonadota bacterium
Lineage: Bacteria; Pseudomonadati; Pseudomonadota
Also listed under: 2 other names
Description: tRNA-Arg
Rfam family: tRNA
About the family: Transfer RNA (tRNA) molecules are approximately 80 nucleotides in length. Their secondary structure includes four short double-helical elements and three loops (D, anti-codon, and T loops).
Source: RNAcentral
GCGCCUGUAGCUCAGUUGGAUAGAGCAGCGGACUUCUAAUCCGCAGGCCGGGAGUUCGAAUCUCUCCAGGCGCGCCA